GGUCCCGUAGCUCAACCGGAUAGAGCAACUGCCUUCUAAGCAGUCGGUUGCAGGUUCGAGUCCUGCCGGGAUCG
RNAcentral lists this transfer RNA (74 nucleotides) under Thermonema lapsum. It matches the Rfam family "tRNA". Rfam says of the family: Transfer RNA (tRNA) molecules are approximately 80 nucleotides in length. Their secondary structure includes four short double-helical elements and three loops (D, anti-codon, and T loops). Lineage: Bacteria; Pseudomonadati; Bacteroidota; Cytophagia; Cytophagales; Thermonemataceae. The record is from Rfam by way of RNAcentral. RNAcentral also lists the same sequence under 1 other name.